MicroRNA precursor from Gallus gallus (chicken), 84 nucleotides. Ensembl annotates it as gga-mir-34b. Its record names the gene gga-mir-34b. Lineage: Eukaryota; Metazoa; Chordata; Aves; Galliformes; Phasianidae. The record is from Ensembl.
GUGCUUGGUUUGCAGGCAGUGUAGUUAGCUGAUUGUACCCAGCGCCCCACAAUCACUAAAUUCACUGCCAUCAAAACAAGGCAC